UUUAUUAAAUUCAUUUUCAAAAACAUGAUAUGUGACAGACAAGUCGAAGGACAAUAAGGGUAUAAAAUCGAAUGUACGUAUGCCUACGUAAUACGUCAAAUAAAAGAAGCACUAAAAAUCUCAGAACCAAAUGUGAAAUGUAUGAAGGGCGAUGCUUACAUGGGCCAAAAAAAAAGUUCUCGAUAAACCUUUCGAGAAAUUUGCCAUUUUCUGAGAAUGAGGUACCCACCCAUCCUGUUGAGCUAUAGUUCUUCCACAAACUCAAAAUACGUAAUAGGUAACGUUCAUAUGUACAGCUUUUAUCACCAUUAGAUAAGCACCUAGGGUACAUUUGAUCUAGGUACAUGCAAGCACCUCGUAAAAAAUUAUCAUCGGUUAAUUUUUAAAACAAUUCUACGUAUAAGGUUUAUACGUUCAUAAAAAUUAUAGUCAAUCUCCAAGAUACGAGAAAGUAUAAAAACAGAAAUUUUUCAUUUUUCAAUUCAUUGUUGAAAUACUACUUUCAUUUGGUGACUUUCUGGCUUAUUUGCAAAAAAGAAAAAAAUCAAAAUGCGUGUUUUAGGAUUAUUAGUUUGUUUUUUGGUGUCCUUAUGCAGCAUUUUCUCUCAUGCAGCUGCUGGUAAAGUUCUAGGCUUCCUUUUGAUCGGGUUGUUAACCGCGUUGUUCUUCGUUUUAUUAUUUUUACUUCCACCUCUUACUACCUUCUUGGCGUUCGCUUUGUUACCUUUGUUGCUAUUUUUGUGUUUCCUCAGUCUCGUUUUGUAGAGUAAGUAGCACUGCUAAUUGAAUAGAUAUUAAUUUAUUGAAAUUUAAGUUACCCGAAUUCACUAAAACAUAAUACAUAUUAUAAUUUCACAUUUUUACUCAAACUGAACAAAUUUUCAUAAAAAUUCGAAGAUAAUUUUCAUUUAUUUAAUUCAUUAUGCAAAGUUGUUCAAAUGUUCACCCGUAAAGUCUUUUAAGAAAAAAAAAGAAAAAAAAAGAAAGAACUUGUGCAAUAAAGUUGAGCUUUUCAAAUUUUUGUUGAAAAUAUCCCUAAAUCAGAGCCUCAGAAAGAAACCAAUUGUAUUUUAAUGAUGAAAAUUUUCAAGCCCUACAAUUUCUAUUCCCUUUAAGUAGGUAUCUUUUCGUAAUACUCGUGCGUUUUCCCAAAAUUGGGGGAAAAAGUUACACUAUUGAUUUUCAUUACAAAAAAUCAGUUUUCGGACUUAUUUGAAAAAUAUAAAAAGUAACAAAAAUAGUCUAAAAUGCUUCAAACGGAAGAACGUGAGUAAUUUUUUUUUUAUCGAAACUAUGCAAUUGAGAAUUUAAAAAAUUUCAAUCAUUUCAAAAAAUAAGCUUAUUGAAAAGUUUUACAGAUAAUUCUAAGUAUUUAGAACGAUCGUUUGUGUCAACUUUUGAAAUAGCGGAAAAGAAAUACAUUUCUAUGAAGAUAGUGAACUAAUGUGGGCAAUCGAUUAAAGAAAUGUUGGAUUAAAAAGCUGGGAAAGAUUAAGUAUUUUCAAAAAGGGGACAAUUCGAAGCCACAAACUGUGUGUCAAUUAUUAUAAAUGUAAGCUGUGAGCUCCCUAUGGACUUUUCACAUGGUAUAUGACGGACAAGUCGAAGGUCAAUUAGGGUAUAAAAUCGAAUGUACACCAAAUAGAAGGGGUACUAAAAAUCUAAAUACCAAAUGUGAAAUGUGUGAAGGGUAAGAGCGAUCCAUACGUUGACCAAAAAAAAAGUUUGCGAUAAAUCCUUCGAGAAAUUUGCGAUUUAUUUGAACUCGAAUUUUGCCAUUUUCUGAAAUACUUACGUUGGUAGCGUACAUAGGUAUUAUGUACAGCAUUUAUCACCAUUAGAUAUGUGUGUAGGUAUGUACCUACUACCUACCUAGGUUACAUUUGAUCUAGCUACAUACAAGUACAUACCUCGUAAAAAAUUAUCACCGGAUAACUUUUUAAACAAUUCUAGGUAUAAGGUUUAUACUUUCUUAAAAUCAGUUAGGUAAUCACAAAGAUAAGAGAACGUAUAAAAACUGAAAUUUUUCAUUUCUUAACUCAGUGUUGAAAUACUACGUUUCAUUUGGCGACUUUCUGGCUUAUUUGCAAAAAAGAAAAAAAUCAAAAUGCGUGUUUUAGGAUUAUUAGUUUGUUUUUUGGUGUCCUUAUGCAGCAUUUUCUCUCAUGCAGCUGCUGGUAAAGUUCUAGGCUUCCUUUUGAUCGGGUUGUUAACCGCGUUGUUCUUCGUUUUAUUAUUUUUACUUCCACCUCUUACUACCUUCUUGGCGUUCGCUUUGUUACCUUUGUUGCUAUUUUUGUGUUUCCUCAGUCUCGUUUUGUAGAAUGGCGAACAUUGGUCAUGAAAUUACAGAACUUCCUCGGCGAUUUAUUCUUAAAGGUGGUGGAAAAUGCGGAAAAUGGGAACCAAGUGCACAUUUCUAAUGAAUUUAAUUUCUUUUCAAAUCACUUCAAUCUAUUUAAAUAAUUAUUACCUAGUUUUAUUCUGUAAUUGAAACUGCAAUAAAUCAUUUGAGCAAAUA
Molecule: long non-coding RNA, 2521 nt
Organism: Planococcus citri (citrus mealybug)
Lineage: Eukaryota; Metazoa; Arthropoda; Insecta; Hemiptera; Pseudococcidae
Exons: 2
Source: RefSeq, a predicted model, not a curated record